RNAcentral lists this long non-coding RNA (322 nucleotides) under Corvus moneduloides (New Caledonian crow). RNAcentral's name for it is "lncRNA (ENSCMUG00000018910.1)". The record is from RNAcentral. Lineage: Eukaryota; Metazoa; Chordata; Aves; Passeriformes; Corvidae.
UCGGUUUGCAGAGUAAUUUGACAGAAGGUUUGGACACCAUGCCCACUGUAAUUUCCACUCAGGAGCUCAGCCGUGACCUUUCAGGUUCACAGGACACAGACAGCAGCUUGUCUGGAAAGGAGAGGCUUAUUCAGCACAAUGUGAUCCAGCCUGACUUCCUGAAGCACACGUAUAAAGGAAAAAUUGAUGUCCAGGUUGUGUUCCAGAGACCUUUCUAACACAGAGAGAAUUUUCAUAUAUAGUUAUAUGCAGACAUCUCUCCAUGUAGACAUGGCUGAUAGAGCUGGGAUUUACAGGUGAGCAUGAGGAAGGGCCUCUGCCA